GCAGGCUUAACACAUGCAAGUCGAACGAUAUAGUGGCAGACGGGUGAGUAACGCGUGGAAACGUGCCUUUCACUACGGAAUAGCUUUUGGAAACGAAAGGUAAUACCGUAUACGCCCUCCGGGGGAAAGAUUUAUCGGUGAAAGAUCGGUCCGCGUUAGAUUAGCUAGUUGGUGAGGUAACGGCUCACCAAGGCUACGAUCUAUAGCUGGUCUGAGAGGAUGAUCAGCCACACUGGAACUGAGACACGGUCCAGACUCCUACGGGAGGCAGCAGUGGGGAAUAUUGCACAAUGGGCGCAAGCCUGAUGCAGCCAUGCCGCGUGAAUGAUGAAGGCCUUAGGGUUGUAAAAUUCUUUCGCCAAGGAUGAUAAUGACAGUACUUGGUAAAGAAGCCCCGGCUAACUUCGUGCCAGCAGCCGCGGUAAUACGAAGGGGGCUAGCGUUGUUCGGAAUUACUGGGCGUAAAGCGCACGUAGGCGGACUUUUAAGUCAGAUGUGAAAUCCCAAGGCUCAACCUUGGAACUGCAUUUGGAACUGGGAGUCUAGAGAUCAGGAGAGGUUAGCGGAAUACCGAGUGUAGAGGUGAAAUUCGUAGAUAUUCGGUGGAACACCAGUGGCGAAGGCGGCUAACUGGACUGAUACUGACGCUGAGGUGCGAAAGUGUGGGGAGCAAACAGGAUUAGAUACCCUGGUAGUCCACACCGUAAACGAUGAGUGCUAGUUGUCUGCAGGCAUGCCUGUAGGUGACGCAGCUAACGCAUUAAGCACUCCGCCUGGGGAGUACGGCCGCAAGGUUAAAACUCAAAGAAAUUGACGGGGGCCCGCACAAGCGGUGGAGCAUGUGGUUUAAUUCGAAGCAACGCGCAGAACCUUACCUACGCUUGACAUGCCCGGACGAUUUCCAGAGAUGGAUCUCUCCCUUCGGGGCCGGUGCACAGGUGCUGCAUGGCUGUCGU
RNAcentral lists this ribosomal RNA (956 nucleotides) under uncultured marine eubacterium HstpL7. RNAcentral describes it as "bacterial SSU rRNA". It matches the Rfam family "Bacterial small subunit ribosomal RNA", at positions 42 to 1055 of the family's 1533-position model. The record is from RNAcentral.